Molecule: long non-coding RNA, 335 nt
Filed under: Zea mays
Lineage: Eukaryota; Viridiplantae; Streptophyta; Magnoliopsida; Poales; Poaceae
Description: long non-coding RNA (ZMAY_LNC001268)
Source: RNAcentral
CACUGAUGUUGCAGUCCUCCUGGACAACGAGGCUAUCUAUGACAUAUGCAGGAGGUCCCUUGACAUCGAAAGGCCAACCUAUACCAACUUGAACAGGCUGAUCUCACAGAUCAUAUCAUCACUUACCACCUCCCUGAGGUUUGAUGGGGCUAUCAAUGUGGAUGUUACUGAGUUCCAGACCAACCUUGUUCCAUACCCACGUAUUCAUUUCAUGCUUUCCUCAUAUGCCCCUGUAAUAUCUGCUGAGAAGGCCUACCAUGAGCAGCUCUCUGUGCCUGAAAUCACCAAUGCUGUAUUUGAGCCCUCAAGCAUGAUGGCCAAGUGUGACCCAAGGC